UAAAUUAAAAGUACAAAUGGCCUAAGGAAACCUCUUGGUCGUGAGUCAUGUUUCAACAAGUCAAACUUUAAUUUCCACCUUCAAUAAGCCACCAAAAUGUGUUGACUUCUUGUCCCAUGUGCACCAUUCUUCAAGGAAAUAAGCAUGUGCCUUAAACAGACAAUAAAACCAUGUUUUCCUCCCUUCCCAUUCAGCAAAAACGUGAUCCAGACACCAAGGAACAAAACUUACGUGAGCUAGAGAGAAAUUCUACAAAAAGUGCUUCAAACUAAGGGGUAAAUGAAAGAUACUUUGGGUGGUCCAACCAAGAUGCCAUGUAAGCAAAGUCAAAUGAAAUUAAACACCAAAAACCUCCCUUCUCAUGUGCAAUUCUCGGCAGAAUUCUUCACUAAAGACAAAGCCAAAAGUGGAAACAUUCUUUGAGUGAAAAUGAGCAUCUUUUGUGCUUGUCCAAAUCGGGUAAAAAUUAAAUGCACCUUCUACCUUCUCUCUUCCUUCUCCACUCCAUUUUCGUUUUUCUCACCAACACUAACCUUCAUAUUGUCUCUCCACAUCUGAAUAUCGAGAACGAGCACAAGAAUUCCAAAGUUCAACAUCAAAAUAACACAAGCACAACAAACCCAAAGUCUAUCUUCUUCAACCCAACUUCAACACUCACUUUUCUUCAAACUUUUAAUGAAAACAAAAUCCAAUCCCUAGCUCCCCUUGCUUCACCGUCCAGUCAUCAUCAACAAACAAAAUGUCCAACUCCAAAUAUUGCUUCAAACCAUCAACAAAAGCAAAAGAAGAAAAGGGUUCAAACAUGAAACACCCAUACACCAACUCAAGCCUUUUUCACUACCAAACUUAACAAGAACUUCAUUUUCAUGAUCCAAUCCAAGAAACUCAAAGUAAAUAUGAAAAUAUGGCAGCAAAGAAGGAGAAAAACGAAAUAGCUAUUCAUUCAAACCAAAGACCCAUCAUGAAAAAUGCAAGAAACCACCUCAAAACUCAAGCUUAUGCUCUCAACUUUCAAGAAGAAAUGAAAGGAAAAUGGGUGAGGGAUUCACUUCCACCAAGCAAAGAUAAACAAGAUUUAAGUAAGAGAAGAAGAAAAACAUGAUCUUGCUCAUUCC
This 1115-nucleotide long non-coding RNA is filed under the name Vigna radiata. RNAcentral describes it as "long non-coding RNA (VRAD_LNC000881)". Lineage: Eukaryota; Viridiplantae; Streptophyta; Magnoliopsida; Fabales; Fabaceae. The record is from RNAcentral.